AUGUUUAAUCAUUUUGAUAUGACCUCUAAUCUUGGUGAUGAUUUUGUGUCCAAUGACUUAUUGCAUGUUUGCUUAUUUAAGGAUGUUGUAGCAUGUAAAAUUGAUGCAACUAAGAUUUAUUCGCCAAUAUUGGGAUGGUUUAAUGAUGAACAUUGUCAAUCUUUUGAAAUGAAUAAGAGCUUCACUUAUAUGUGCAAACUGAGUUGCAAUAUUUUCAUGCCUUCUACUUCUUGUGAUAAUUUUUCAGCUUUAGAUUUUAUGAAAUAUGAAAGUUACUCAUGUAUACAUGUGUCAUAUGUGCAAAAAUCAAAGGAAGUAAAAAUGGAUGACAUAUACAUAUACAACAUGUACACCUUGUCUCUUUUGUUAGCCACAUUUUAG
Molecule: ribosomal RNA, 381 nt
Filed under: Triticum aestivum (bread wheat)
Lineage: Eukaryota; Viridiplantae; Streptophyta; Magnoliopsida; Poales; Poaceae
Description: partial small subunit ribosomal RNA
Source: RNAcentral